RNAcentral lists this ribosomal RNA (460 nucleotides) under uncultured bacterium. Its description in RNAcentral is "partial 16S ribosomal RNA". It matches the Rfam family "Bacterial small subunit ribosomal RNA", at positions 338 to 795 of the family's 1533-position model. The record is from RNAcentral.
CCUACGGGUGGCAGCAGUGAGGAAUAUUGGUCAAUGGGCGCGAGCCUGACCCAGCCAAGUCGCGUGAAGGAUGCCUGCCCUACGGGUUGUAGACUUCUUUUAUCAAGGAAUAAAGUGAGGCACGUGUGCCUUUUUGUCUGUCCUUUAUGAAUCAGGAUCGCCUAACUCCGUGCCAGCAGCCUCGGUAAUACGGAGGCUCCGGGCGUUAUCCGUAUUUAGUGGGUGUAAAGGGUACGGAGAUGGGAUGUUAAGUCAGGUGUGAAAGUAGGCGGCUCAACCGUAGAAUUGCAAUUGAUACUGGCAGUCUUGAGUACAGUAGAGGUAGGCGGAAUUCGUGGUGUAGCGGUGAAAUGCUUAGAUAUCACGAAGAACUCCGAUUGCGAAGGCAGCUUACUAAACUGCAACUGACAUUGAUGAUCGAAAGUGUGGGUAUCAAACAGGAUUAGAUACCCGGGUAGUC